RNAcentral lists this ribosomal RNA (617 nucleotides) under Antrocharis querilhaci dispar. RNAcentral describes it as "partial 16S ribosomal RNA". The stretch from base 382 to 540 matches the Rfam family "Bacterial large subunit ribosomal RNA", at positions 2473 to 2632 of the family's 2925-position model. Lineage: Eukaryota; Metazoa; Arthropoda; Insecta; Coleoptera; Leiodidae. The record is from RNAcentral.
GUCUUAUUGAUUAUAAUUUUAAGUCUAAUCUGCCCAAUGAGUUAUUAAAUGGCUGCAGUAUUUUAACUGUACAAAGGUAGCAUAAUAAUUAGUUUCUUAAUUAGGAACUGGAAUGAAUGAUUGGACGAGAUAAUAACUGUCUUAGUUUAAAUUUUAGAAUUUUAUUUUUAAGUUAAAAAGCUUAAAUUUUUUUAAAAGACGAGAAGACCCUAUAGAAUUUUAUAUUAUUUAAAUAUUAAAUUUUUGGUAAUUUAAUAUAUAAUUUUUUAAAAAAUAUUUAGUUGGGGUGAUUGAAAAAUUUAAUAAACUUUUUUUUAUGUUAACAUAAAUGUAUGAUUUUAUGAUCCAGUUUUUCUGAUUAUAAGAGUAAAUUACCUUAGGGAUAACAGCGUAAUUUUUUUAGAGAGUUCUAAUCGAUAAAAGAGAUUGCGACCUCGAUGUUGGAUUAAAGUUUAUUUUUAAUGCAGAAGUUAAAAUAUUAGGUCUGUUCGACCUUUAAAACUUUACAUGAUCUGAGUUUAAACCGGUGUAAGCCAGGUUGGAUUCUAUCUUUAAUAAAAUUAAAUUUUUUAGUACGAAAGGACCAAAUAUUUAUUAUAGUAGUUUUAUAUGAAUAU